AAAAAAAUAAGUUAAAAAAAUAAACUUUUAAGUUUCAAACUUAUAAAUAUAAAUUAAAACGUUUAUUUUUUUUA
This 74-nucleotide transfer RNA is filed under the name Semnoderes armiger. RNAcentral describes it as "tRNA-Trp". The record is from RNAcentral. Lineage: Eukaryota; Metazoa; Kinorhyncha; Cyclorhagida; Kentrorhagata; Semnoderidae.